Molecule: long non-coding RNA, 1040 nt
Organism: Hypanus sabinus (Atlantic stingray)
Lineage: Eukaryota; Metazoa; Chordata; Chondrichthyes; Myliobatiformes; Dasyatidae
Exons: 3
Source: RefSeq, a predicted model, not a curated record
GUCCCCGUUGUUCUAGUGAGACCAUGGACUUUCGCCUGGGAAGGUUUCCAGGGCGCAGGCCUGGGCAGGGUUGUAUGGAAGACCGGCAGUUGCCCAAGCUGCAAGUCUCCCCUCUCCACGCCACCGAUGUUGUCCAAGUGAAGGGCACUAUGACCCAUGCAGCUUGGCCCCUUUGACAUCGCACAGCAAUGUGUGGUUAAGUCCCUUGCUCAAGGACACAACAGACUGCCUCAGCUCGAACCAGUGACCUUCAGAAUUUCUCCGGGUGUCAGUAAUCGAACGGUGCUCGAGGAGCUACACUGUGUCUGAUCACUGGUGUGGGCGAUUGGACACUGUCACAGUAGCUUAACUCUGUGUCUCCCUGUGGGAAUGUGUGAUGGGACGGUGUGGAGUGAGCUUCUCUCUGUGUCUGCCCGCAAGAGCGCGUGGUUUGACAAUGGGCAGCGUGCAGUCUGAACCCAUGUGUGUGUAAUGCGACUGUGGAGAGAGUGAGUGAGAGAGAGAGAGAGAGAGAGAGAGAGAGAGAGAGAGAGAGAGACACUCUGUUUCUGAUCCCGCGAGUAUGAGAUGGGGGGACGAUGCGGAGGGAGGUUCUCUCUAUGUCUGGCCGGAGGUGUGCGUGAUGGGACGGUGUGAAAGGAGCGACACCUGCUGUCUGAAUCCGGGAUUGGACGUUGUUAAGGGAGUUUGAAUUUUCUGAUCCCAUUCGGUGCAAUGGGUGUUAUGGAGGGUGAAUCACUGUUUUUUGUUCCUGAUUUGUAGAGCAUACGUGUCCUCAGAACUGGAUCGAUAACGAAAAUCGGUGUUAUUUCAUAUCUUCCUUGGAGAAAACUUAUGAUGGAGCGAGGGAACAUUGUUCAAACUUGGAUGCAAGGCUCCUCGAAAUAAAUUCAAAAGAGGAAGAGGAAUUUGUUUCCACCUCUGUCGGCGAUGAAUACAGAACUUACUGGAUUGGAAAAUGCAGAGACGGGAAUGUGGGCUCUAAUCUUCUGUACAAGUCCUAUAGCCGGCCCAGCUGCAGAAAAUGCGACGGAUCCUGG